GAUGAACGCUGGCGGCGUGCCUAAUACAUGCAAGUCGAGCGAACAGACGAGGAGCUUGCUCCUCUGACGUUAGCGGCGGACGGGUGAGUAACACGUGGAUAACCUACCUAUAAGACUGGGAUAACUUCGGGAAACCGGAGCUAAUACCGGAUAAUAUAUUGAACCGCAUGGUUCAAUAGUGAAAGACGGUUUUGCUGUCACUUAUAGAUGGAUCCGCGCCGCAUUAGCUAGUUGGUAAGGUAACGGCUUACCAAGGCAACGAUGCGUAGCCGUCCUGAGAGGGUGAUCGGCCACCCUGGAACUGAGACACGGUCCAGACUCCUACGGGAGGCAGCAGUAGGGAAUCUUCCGCAAUGGGCGAAAGCCUGACGGAGCAACGCCGCGUGAGUGAUGAAGGUCUUCGGAUCGUAAAACUCUGUUAUUAGGGAAGAACAAAUGUGUAAGUAACUAUGCACGUCUUGACGGUACCUAAUCAGAAAGCCACGGCUAACUACGUG
This 497-nucleotide ribosomal RNA is filed under the name uncultured bacterium. RNAcentral's name for it is "partial 16S ribosomal RNA". It matches the Rfam family "Bacterial small subunit ribosomal RNA", at positions 28 to 507 of the family's 1533-position model. The record is from RNAcentral.